UCAAUUCAACUUUCAUCAGGAUAAUCCAAAAAAUAUGUACGCAUGUGUGUGUGUAUGUAUAUUAUAUAUAAUAUAGUAAUAUAUACAUACAAACACAAAUACAUACACACGUGUGUAUAUAUUUUUUGGAUUAUCCUGAUGAAAGUUGAAUUGA
Molecule: non-coding RNA, 154 nt
Organism: Pelobates cultripes (western spadefoot toad)
Lineage: Eukaryota; Metazoa; Chordata; Amphibia; Anura; Pelobatidae
Source: the annotation of a GenBank genome assembly